GCCGCUGCACUCCAGCCCGGGUGACAGAGUGAGACUCCGUCUCAAAAACAAACAAACAAACAAAAAGAAAUGGGGUCUAUGUUCCCCAGACUGAAAAAAAAUGUUAUUUAAAAAUUAAGAUCCAUAUCUCUGCCUUGCAUUUUGAGUAGAUCUUUUAUCCAUACUUGAAUUUACAACAUCAUACAUUGGUAUUUAGAAAAUACUGUUGGCUGGGUGCCUGUAAUCCUAGAACUUUGGAAGGCCAAGGUGGGCGGAUUGACUAAACU
This 266-nucleotide long non-coding RNA is filed under the name Homo sapiens (human). Its description in RNAcentral is "non-protein coding lnc-MYBPC3-1:1". The record is from RNAcentral. Lineage: Eukaryota; Metazoa; Chordata; Mammalia; Primates; Hominidae.